GGUUUAAUUCGAAGCAACGCGAAGAACCUUACCAGGUCUUGACAUCCUUUGACCACUCUGGAGACAGAGCUUUCCCUUCGGGGACAAAGUGACAGGUGGUGCAUGGUUGUCGUCAGCUCGUGUCGUGGGAUGUUGGGUUAAGUCCCGCAACGAGCGCAACCCUUGAUUUUAGUUGCCAGCAUUUAGUUGGGCACUCUAAAGUGACUGCCGGUGCAAGCCGGAGGAAGGUGGGGAUGACGUCAAAUCAUCAUGCCC
RNAcentral lists this ribosomal RNA (255 nucleotides) under Listeria monocytogenes. RNAcentral describes it as "partial 16S ribosomal RNA". It matches the Rfam family "Bacterial small subunit ribosomal RNA", at positions 943 to 1200 of the family's 1533-position model. The record is from RNAcentral. Lineage: Bacteria; Bacillati; Bacillota; Bacilli; Caryophanales; Listeriaceae.